Molecule: ribosomal RNA, 451 nt
Filed under: Rhionaeschna multicolor
Lineage: Eukaryota; Metazoa; Arthropoda; Insecta; Odonata; Aeshnidae
Description: partial 16S ribosomal RNA
Rfam family: Archaeal large subunit ribosomal RNA
Source: RNAcentral
AACGGCCGCGGUAUACUGACCGUGCAAAGGUAGCAUAAUCAUUAGUCUUUUAAUAGAGGGCUGGUAUGAAGGGUUUAACGAGGUGUUGACUGUCUCAUUUAAUUUGAAUUUAGAAUUUAAUUUUUUAGUUAAAAAGCUGAAAUAUUAUUGGAAGACGAGAAGACCCUAUAGAGCUUUAUAUUUUUGUUAUUAAUUUAUUAUAGAUUAUUAUUAUUUAUUAUUAACAGGAAAUAUUUUGUUGGGGUGACAAAAAUAUAUAAAUAACUUUUUUAUUUUAUUUACAUUGAUAUAUGAAUAUUAGAUCCAAUCUUAUUGAUUGUUAGAUUAAGUUACCUUAGGGAUAACAGCGUAAUCCCUCUCCAGAGUUCAUAUUUACAGAGGGGCUUGCGACCUCGAUGUUGGAUUAAGAUAAUAAUUAGGUGCAGCCGCUUAAUUAAUAGGUCUGUUCGAC